RNAcentral lists this transfer RNA (60 nucleotides) under Marmota marmota marmota (Alpine marmot). It matches the Rfam family "tRNA", at positions 6 to 65 of the family's 71-position model. Rfam says of the family: Transfer RNA (tRNA) molecules are approximately 80 nucleotides in length. Lineage: Eukaryota; Metazoa; Chordata; Mammalia; Rodentia; Sciuridae. The record is from Rfam by way of RNAcentral. RNAcentral also lists the same sequence under 3 other names.
UGUGGCUCACUAUAGAGCACUUGUCUAGUAGGCAUGAGACCCUGGGUUCAAUUCCCAGCA